This 484-nucleotide ribosomal RNA is filed under the name uncultured bacterium. RNAcentral describes it as "partial 16S ribosomal RNA". It matches the Rfam family "Bacterial small subunit ribosomal RNA", at positions 30 to 507 of the family's 1533-position model. The record is from RNAcentral.
AUUGAACGCUGGCGGCAGGCCUAACACAUGCAAGUCGAGCGGAUGAAGGGAGCUUGCUCCUGGAUUCAACGGCGGACGGGUGAGUAAUGCCUAGGAAUCUGCCUGGUAGUGGGGGACAACGUCCGGAAACGGGCGCUAAUACCACAUACGUCCUGAGGGAGAAAGUGGGGGAUCUUCGGACCUCACGCUAUCAGAUGAGCCUAGGUCGGAUUAGCUAGUUGGUGGGGUAAAGGCCUACCAAGGCGACGAUCCGUAACUGGUCUGAGAGGAUGAUCAGUCACACUGGAACUGAGACACGGUCCAGACUCCUACGGGAGGCAGCAGUGGGGAAUAUUGGACAAUGGGCGAAAGCCUGAUCCAGCCAUGCCGCGUGUGUGAAGAAGGUCUUCGGAUUGUAAAGCACUUUAAGUUGGGAGGAAGGGCAGUAAGUUAAUACCUUGCUGUUUUGACGUUACCAACAGAAUAAGCACCGGCUAACUUCGUG